UAUUAGGUUGGUGCAAAAGUAAUUGUGGUUUUUGCCAUUUUAAAAGUAAUUGUUAUUCUUUUUGAAGAAUAAUAAAAACCGCAAUUAGUUUUGCAACAACCUAAUAAUUUCUA
RNAcentral lists this microRNA precursor (113 nucleotides) under Chlorocebus sabaeus (green monkey). RNAcentral's name for it is "miRNA (ENSCSAG00000021598.1)". Lineage: Eukaryota; Metazoa; Chordata; Mammalia; Primates; Cercopithecidae. The record is from RNAcentral.